This is a long non-coding RNA of Anas platyrhynchos (mallard), 2135 nucleotides long. RefSeq lists it as uncharacterized. The record is from RefSeq and is a predicted model, not a curated record. NCBI's taxonomy places the organism in Eukaryota, Metazoa, Chordata, Aves, Anseriformes, Anatidae.
UGGCAUCAGGGUGUAGAGAGCUACAGGAGUGUAGCUCCACCUAAAGUCCCUUUCCCUUCUUUCCCUUCUUUCCCUUCUUUCCCUUCUUUCCCUCUUUUAUAGGGUACCCCUUUCUGAGUUUAUUUUUCUUACUCUUGAAUAAUUUACUUUCUAACACUUGUCUGUGUACUACUCCUAAACACUUAAAAGUUGCAGCUUUUGCUCCUUAUUGUUCACAUUAAGACAAUUUAAUUAGCUGACCUUUCUACUUUCCUCUAAGAAAACAACAUUAAGUGUUCUAAUUAUUUAGUCACCUUCUUCUGAGCAAGUUGCCUGUAGAAAACUCUCUUCCUGACUUCAAUGAGUGGGGUGUUGAAACCGCACUUUGGGCAGAACUUAGGCUUUAUGAAAUUGGGGGCUUUGUGUUAAGAAUUAUGGGAAUACAAUGCAAACUAUAUUAUUGGACAAACACCUGUGAUGUGAAAGGACAUAAAAUGGGCACAUCUAAUGCUGAUCAUGAUUAAGGACUGGAAGAGAUUCCCAGGACACCAGACACCCUAUCAGGGAGUUUAGGGUAAAUGACAGUGACACAACAGUAACAUCUGAAGGACAUCUGCUUCUGACAAGGAUGCUCAUCUUCCUGCAGUGAUUGCACUUGUUCAUGCUUGAGAGAGUAAAGUGGAAGCUGAACGACCUCUGGUUUAGAUUUUAAUUGCAAGAAGGUGAGGGUUGGAUGGGUUGGAUGACAGAAGAUAAAAUUGUAUUUUAGCAUCGAGGUUAUCCUGGAGUAACUUUCAAGAAGUACUUACUAGAUUCCUCAGGGGGACAGAGAGUGAAAGAAUAGAUUGAAGGAAAGUAAAUCACAUAAGCAUCUUUAAGAUGGUAACAGUUUUCUGAUACAGUGUAUGGAAUUAUUACUGGUGUUAAUAUUUUGUUGACUCGUCUGUGACAUUAUCCACAAUACAAAUAAUUAAUAGGAUUACAUUCUUCCAGUAAAAGAUAUGAAUGGUGUAUCAGAGUUUGAGGAGAGAAGGAACACAUCUGUAGGGACAGAAAAGUUGCCUUUCUUGUUAAAAUGCUUGUACACUAAUGUAAUGGGGUAGGUGGUAGUACUCUGCAGGAAUUUUCAUGUGAGAUAUAUGUGGUUUUAUGUUGUCCUGUUGUACAGUAAUAUAGGAAGAAACUAAGAAUUUAAUGUAUCUUGGUGUUGAUUUUGGAUACUAUAACUACUAUGAGAAGAAACAUAAAUAUUCAUUGUUAUGGAAAUUGAGCAUGAGUCCACAUCCUGGUUAUGUUUUGCUUGUAUUUAAGACACGCAAAUAAAACCAUAAGAACAAUUCUAAAACAAUAAAUACACCCAACUCUCUUCUGGUAGCAAUGCUCCCCUUUUGAAAAGGGGAGGACAGCAGGCUCCCUGUAUAUAGAAAUGUAUGUUUUGCAUUUUAUUUCCUUGAUGUUGUAGAAAUGGAUCUUUGGAGAACAGCAAACUCUCUUGACAAUCAUUUAAGAAAAACAUUUUUUCCCUUCCCCUUUGAAAUGUUGUUUUAAAUUAGGAACAACAGUACUGAUGCCUGUGAAGGCAUUCUCCUUGCAGAUAUGUGCAUAUUCUGCAUUGUGACUGAGGCAAGAUGGGCUAAGCCUUCUUUUUGCCCAAACAGACACAUUUGACCAUGUUUAUUUUGAUAAUUUACUUCUCCUCCUCCUCUUCUGAGGUGUCCUUAACUACAUAUGAUUUUCCAUAUGCUUACUUCUGAGAGAAGAAUUUCUGCACUGCCUAUAGGAUGCUGAGGCAUAGAAAUGCUGCAGAUUUGCCCAAUAACACAUCACAAAGUAAUAUGAAGAAUAGGAAAAUAAUUUAACCACUUUGACUUUCCAAGCUCUUUGUAAGUACCAUUAGCAUAUUUCCGAGCUGUUUCAAAAAUAAUACAGGUUUUAACUUGUGACAUUCAUUUUGAUGUUUUAUUUUAUCCUCACUAGCUAAGAUCAUUAUAACCUUGCUCAACCCUAUAUGAUAGAGAAUUUAAUAUUUUAUUUUUAAUAUUUGCCUGCAGAAGAAAGAUUCCCAUUCUUGCAGGAAGUUUUUAGGUAGUAUGAAUCAUUCAGUUGCUUUUUAGAAUACACUCAAUUUCUAAACAUCAUAUUAUCUUUGCUUAAUU